GACGAACGCUGGCGGCGUGCUUAACACAUGCAAGUCGAACGGUGAACUCCGCUUGCGGGGGGAUCAGUGGCGAACGGGUGAGUAACACGUGGGCAACCUGCCCUCAGCUCUGGGAUAACUCCAAGAAAUUGGGGCUAAUACCGGAUAUGACCGCUGACCGCAUGGUCUGGUGGUGGAAAGAUUUAUCGGCUGGGGAUGGGCCCGCGGCCUAUCAGCUUGUUGGUGGGGUAGUGGCCUACCAAGGCGACGACGGGUAGCCGGCCUGAGAGGGUGACCGGCCACACUGGGACUGAGACACGGCCCAGACUCCUACGGGAGGCAGCAGUGGGGAAUAUUGCGCAAUGGGCGAAAGCCUGACGCAGCGACGCCGCGUGGGGGAUGACGGCCUUCGGGUUGUAAACCUCUUUCAGCAGGGACGAAGCGAAAGUGACGGUACCUGCAGAAGAAGCACCGGCCAACUACGUG
Molecule: ribosomal RNA, 465 nt
Filed under: uncultured bacterium
Lineage: Bacteria
Description: partial 16S ribosomal RNA
Rfam family: Bacterial small subunit ribosomal RNA
Source: RNAcentral